This 305-nucleotide ribosomal RNA is filed under the name uncultured bacterium. RNAcentral's name for it is "bacterial SSU rRNA". It matches the Rfam family "Bacterial small subunit ribosomal RNA", at positions 337 to 658 of the family's 1533-position model. The record is from RNAcentral.
UCCUACGGGGCGCAGCAGUCGGGAAUAUUGCACAAUGGAGGAAACUCUGAUGCAGUGACACCGCGUAUAGGAAGAAGGUUUUCGGAUUGUAAACUAUUUUAGACAGGGAAGAAAAAAGACAGUACCUGUAGAAUAAGCUCCGGCUAACUACGUGCCAGCAGCCGCGGUAAUACGUAGGUGACAAGCGUUGUCCGGAUUUACUGGGUGUAAAGGGCGCGUAGGCGGGAUAGCAAGUCAGUCGUGAAAUGCCGAGGCUUAACCUCGGAGCUGCGAUUGAAACUGUUAUUCUUGAGUAUCGGAGAGGA